CCUACGGGUGGCAGCAGUAGGGAAUCUUUCACAAUGGGCGAAAGCCUGAUGGAGCAACGCCGCGUGCAGGAUGAAGGCCUUCGGGUUGUAAACUGCUUUUAUAAGCGAGAAAUAUGAUGGUAACUUAUGAAUAAGGAUCGGCUAACUACGUGCCAGCAGCCGCGGUCAUACGUAGGAUCCGAGCAUUAUCCGGAGUGACUGGGUGUAAAGAGUUGCGUAGGUGGCAUAAUAAGUAGCUAGUGAAAUCGGGUGGCUCAACCAUUCAGACUAUUAGCUAAACUGUUAAGCUCGAGACCGUUAGGGGUAACUGGAAUUUCUAGUGUAGGAGUGAAAUCCGUAGAUAUUAGAAAGAACACCAAUAGCGUAGGCAGGUUACUGGGACGGUUCUGACACUAAGGCACGAAAGCGUAGGGAGCAAACGGGAUUAGAUACCCCAGUAGU
Molecule: ribosomal RNA, 441 nt
Filed under: uncultured bacterium
Lineage: Bacteria
Description: partial 16S ribosomal RNA
Rfam family: Bacterial small subunit ribosomal RNA
Source: RNAcentral